This 260-nucleotide long non-coding RNA is filed under the name Mytilus galloprovincialis (Mediterranean mussel). Lineage: Eukaryota; Metazoa; Mollusca; Bivalvia; Mytilida; Mytilidae. The record is from RNAcentral.
AUUUUUCAUUACAUAUAGUUUAAAAGCCUUUUUUGAAAAUCUUAUAAAAUGCUUCUUUUUUUUUUCAUAGUUUUUGAGAGAAUAAGGUUCCAAUGUUAGAUGCAUGAACUGAGUGAAUCAUUUCCUGCAAAAUUUCAAUUAAUUAUACCUCAAAAACAAGGACAUAGACCUAUAAUUUUUUUCUGCUUUUAUAGUUCAGCUUUUUUUUACUGAUGCAACACACAUGAUGGUGAUUUGUGUACCAAGAUCAUACUUUAUCC